This 292-nucleotide ribosomal RNA is filed under the name uncultured bacterium. RNAcentral's name for it is "partial 16S ribosomal RNA". It matches the Rfam family "Bacterial small subunit ribosomal RNA", at positions 505 to 796 of the family's 1533-position model. The record is from RNAcentral.
GUGUCAGCAGCCGCGGUAAUACGUAGGGGGCAAGCGUUGUCCGGAAUCAUUGGGCGUAAAGCGCGCGUAGGUGGCCCUGUAAGUCCGCUCUGAAAGUCGAAGGCUCAACCUUCGAAAGCGGGUGGAUACUGCAGGGCUAGAGUCCGGAAGAGGCGAGUGGAAUUCCUGGUGUAGCGGUGGAAUGCGCAGAUAUCAGGAGGAACACCAACGGCGAAGGCAGCUCGCUGGGACGGUACUGACACUGAGGCGCGAAAGCGUGGGGAGCGAACAGGAUUAGAAACCCCAGUAGUCC